GAAUAUUGCGCAAUGGACGAAAGUCUGACGCAGCAACGCCGCGUGCGUGCAGAAUGCCUUUGGGUUGUAAAGCUCUUUCGGCUGGGGAGAAGGGUUAGGGUGUUAAUAUUAUCCUAAUUUGAUGGUACCAGAAGUAGCAGCACCGUCUAACGUCGUGCCAGCAGCUGCGGUAAUACGAAUGGUGCAAGCGUUGUGCGGAAUUACUGGGCGUAAAGGGUUUGUAGGCUGGAAUAUAAGUCAAGUGUUAAAUCCCCGAGCUAAACUUGGGACGUGCAUUUGAAACUGUGUUUCUUGAGUAUCGUAGAGGGUGGUGGAAUUGUAGGUGUAGGAGUGACAUCCGUAGAGAUCUGCAGGAACAUCAGAGGCGAAGGCGACCACCUGGCCGAUUACUGACGCUGAGUAACGAAAGCGUGGGGAGCAAAC
RNAcentral lists this ribosomal RNA (423 nucleotides) under uncultured bacterium. RNAcentral describes it as "partial 16S ribosomal RNA". It matches the Rfam family "Bacterial small subunit ribosomal RNA", at positions 359 to 773 of the family's 1533-position model. The record is from RNAcentral.